CUACGGGUUGCUCCAGUGGGGAAUAUUGCACAAUGGGGGGAACCCUGAUGCAGCAACGCCGCGUGGAGGAUGACGCAUUUCGGUAUGUAAACUCCUUUUAUAUGUCAAGAAAAUGACGGUAGCAUAUGAAUAAGCACCGGCUAACUCCGUGCCAGCAGCCGCGGUAAUACGGAGGGUGCAAGCGUUACUCGGAAUCACUGGGCGUAAAGGACGCGUAGGCGGGUUGGAAAGUCAGGUGUGAAAUCCUACAGCUUAACUGUAGAACUGCACUUGAAACUUCUAAUCUAGAGUAUGGGAGGGGGAGAUGGAAUUAGUGGUGUAGGGGUAAAAUCCGUAGAUAUCACUAGGAAUACCUAAAGCGAAGGCGAUCCCCUGGAACAUUACUGACGCUAAGGCGUGAAAGCGUGGGGAGCAAACAGGAUUAGAUACCCGCGUAGUC
This 439-nucleotide ribosomal RNA is filed under the name uncultured bacterium. Its description in RNAcentral is "partial 16S ribosomal RNA". It matches the Rfam family "Bacterial small subunit ribosomal RNA", at positions 339 to 795 of the family's 1533-position model. The record is from RNAcentral.